AAUGAGAGCUGGGUGGGCAGGACCCUCGUCUGCUCACCAGCUCUGGGAGGCCCCCAGCCUUCAGGCUGAGAGUGGGCAGCUGGGGAGGCCGCGCCAGACGGGCCUUCUUCCCUGCGGCAGUGCGAGGGAGCGCGGGAAGGCCUCCAAAAGGGUUAGGACCCGUCGAGGGAAAGAAAUGUCAAAGGAAGCCCUGUAUCUUUCAUACAACGUAUAAUUAACUCUCAACAGAAAGUGCCAUGAAUUCAUAAUGGGAGCCGACAGCGAGGGAGGAAGGCUCUGACAAGCAUGAGAUUUGUCGUGGGUUUUUUUUUUUUUAAUUUUUUAAAGGAACACCAACAGUUGCAGCUAUAAUCAUGGACCUCCUCCAGUAGUAAGUGUCUCCCCAGCCGGAUCAUGCUGUCUUCUGCCUGACCCGGACCGGAUCCCCUGGGGUGGCUAUGCCGUGCCAUGGAAAAGGAUGGGUCAGGAAGUUACUGAAACCUUCCCUGCGCCUGGUGGGCUUUGGGUUUUACAAUGAAAGAGUUGGUAAAUCAGCUCUACUCCAAUAAAAAAGGAAGAGCCUUCAAAGGAUUCAUGGGAAAGUGGCCACAGAGCACAGGAGGAGUCCACUAUGUAGGUGCUUUCAGAUUUUCUCCAGAG
Odocoileus virginianus texanus is the source of this 639-nucleotide long non-coding RNA. RefSeq lists it as uncharacterized. The record is from RefSeq and is a predicted model, not a curated record. Lineage: Eukaryota; Metazoa; Chordata; Mammalia; Artiodactyla; Cervidae.